UUUCCAACUCCAUGGGGGCUUUAGUUAACCUCCAUUCAUUGCGUUUACAAAACAAUAGCAUCUAUGGAGAUAUUCCUUCCUCAUUGAAAAAGUGCUCAAAUCUAAAGCUUAUUGACAUGGGUGAUAAUCAUUUGUCCAUCAUACCACUAUGGAUAGGAGAAAUGACAAAUAUUAUAGUUCUCCGUCUAAGAUCAAGUGAAUUCAAGGGUUAUAUACCUCAACAAAUAUGCCAACUUUCUUCUCUUAGAGUAUUGGAUCUUGCUAAUAAUAAUUUAUCAGGAUCCAUACCAAACUGCUUGAAAAAUAUCAGCGCCAUGGCAUUACCAGAUUCCUAUGAUAUUUCAUUAUCUUAUUUUAUGGAUUUUAUAUAUCCAUUUACAUCCUAUGUUGAGAAUGUUCAGUUGGUUCCUAAAGGGAAUGAAAUGGAAUACAAAGAGAACCUUAAAUUAGUUAAGCUCAUAGACCUUUCAAGUAACAACUUGUCCGGAUCAAUCCCUACUGAAAUUUCAGAUCUUUCCGAAUUACGUUUUUUGAAUUUGUCUCGAAAUCAUUUGAUGGGAAAGAUACCAGAAAAAAUUGGGAGUAUGAAAGAGUUAGAGUCAGUUGAUCUCUCACGAAAUCAUUUAUCGGGUGAAAUUCCUCCAAGCAUGUCUAAUUUGACAUUUCUUAGUUUCUUGGACUUGUCAUACAAUAACUUCUUAGGUAGAAUUCCUUCAAGCACCCAGCUUCAAUCAUUUGAUGCCCUUAGGUAUAUUGGAAAUCCUCAGUUAUAUGGUGAUCCUCUUCCAAAAAGCUGCACAAUUGAGGAACUAUCUUUGAAUAGAUCACCAGUUGGUAGUGUUGAAGAUGAUUCUAAAAACUCCAGCUUCUACAUUGGUAUGGGAGUUGGAUUCACAACUGGCUUUUGGGCAAUUUGUGAAGCUCUCUUCUUUAAUAGGACUUGGAGGCGUGCUUAUUUUAGAUUUGCUGAUGAAGUAAAAGAUUGGAUUUAUGAGACUACAAUGAUAAAGAUGAAUUUAUUGGAAAAGCUAAGAGUCUGCCUUAGUAAGUGAAGCAUCGUUAUCUAGCCAAAAGGUUGUGAAAACUCUUGCAAUCCAUGACAAUUACAAUUAGAAGUAGACAAAAAUAAAUUGUUUCUAUAUACUAGGUCAGUGUAACUAUGACUUUGUUAUCUGAAUUAUAUUGUUUGUUAGCUCUGCAUAUGAACUAUAUGCAGCUAUUGGUUCUGGCUAGUUUCAUUAAGGAUGUUUGUAAUGUGAAAAGAUAGUGAACAUAUCAGUAGUGUAGACCAUUUGAUUGGUUUUUGUUAACCUCUUGAAUGAAUGUUUUACCAAAUUAUGUUGACAUACAUGCUAAACUUUGAUGUAGUAACUGUAUGGAUUUUGAUGUUAUGGUCAAAUUAAUUAAAGCAAAUUUACCAUAACAAUGAGAUCUACCUCUAAUGACUUCCUCUUCCAUAAUAAUGAGAUAGAGGGUAAGAUUUUGAUUCAAAAUUUUAUGAAUGCAUAUAUACCAAUAUUAAUAAUAAUGAUAAAUAAAGACUAUUCCCUAAGGUUCAACCCUAUCAAUUGUCAUAUAUUGUGUCAGAUCUAUUUGUUAUAAGUGAAUGCAUUAGUUAAGGAUUUUUUUAUUUUUAUUUUUUAUUUUAUUUGAAAUUUACUUAAAAGAAGUGGUAAAUUAUCAUUGAGAUUGUGUUUGGAUGACCUUAUUUUGACUGUCUUACUUUGUUUAAAAAUACAACUAUAGUUAAAAAAAAAGUGAGGCUUUAAAAAACUUUACAUAAGUUGUUGGUGAAAUUAAAUUUACAUUUUAAUCUAAAACAAAUAGAACCUUAGCAUAUAAAGUUCAUGGUUAGGCAUUUACUAUUUUCUAGUUCCUGUCUCUAUGGUAUUUAAAGAUAGAAGUGAAUGUAGUAUUAUAAUAAUUAAGAAUUUUAGGUUGAUUCACCACUAUUAAAUAUAUAUUUUGUGCCUAUUUUGGUUUCAAAACUUCUUAAAUCUUAAUUACUGAAAAAGUUGUAUUACUUGCAAGGUGUUCAAAGCAAAAUAAUAGCAGAUGUGACACAACUUGAUCUUAAUGCUUGUCUCACUUCUAUCCAAGUUUCAGCUUGUUUGAUUUUGCGCAUCUAUUUAAAGUACUAUAACAAAGUAAAAUUUCUUUUAACUUGUUGAUUAAGCCAAAAUUGAACUUUUAAUCAUGGUAUUGCAUUUUUAGUAGAUGUUAUUUUGUUUGUUCUCUCUCUUUCUACCUUACCGCUUGGCUUUAUGUGAAUUUAUGCUACCUUUGUCAUUCAGUGUACUACUUCAUUGGUUGUCCUUUAAUCUCAAUUUUUUUUUCUCUUUAACCGUUUGGGAAGGGAUGUUGAUGUGGCAAAAUCAGAGGAGUUCAAUGAAAUGGGUUGUAAAGCCUCUCUUGCUGAUCAAUAGAAGCAGGUCUGAGAAAACAUUCAUGCUCAGAUUAAAAGUUUCUACACGUGUAUAGAUGAAAUUCUUUUGCCUUAUACUAAAAGGAUACGUGAAGCACAAGAACUGCCUCCACAACCAAGAGCUACUCCUUGUCAGUGUGGCCUUGAUUUUGCUGUUGGCAUGGAUGGCCAACCUACUAAUCGUCCUGGGCCUUGAUUGGAAUUUUUGUAUUGGAGGUAACACACAUAGAGGUCCAGAUUAUUUUACUACAAGAAAGUGCUGAUUAUGAUCAAUUCUCAUUUUAGUAUUUGGAUGGCAUGUUGCUGACUAAAAAAUACAUGGAUUGAUGGAUAUGUGGGAAAAAAAAGGGGAUCAAUGUCUCUAGAAGUACAAGGAUGUCCUCCAAGCUGGACUUACGCCUUCCAGUUUAAUCUCCUUAUGUGCUACAACCGUUUGGGAAGGAAUGCUGAUGAGGCAGACGCAGAGGAGAUCAUAGAAUGGCCAGUAAAGCCUCUCUUGCUGAUCAACAAGUCCAAGAAAACGUCCAUGCUCAGAUUAAAUGUGAGCAUCCACUGCAAAAAUGCCUAUGUUGGAUUAUGUUGGAUAAGUUUGGUUGGAUCAAUUUCAAGCUUAGCUUUGUUCCAAUUAAAACCCAAUAAGUAAGCAUUUCAUGCACAUAUUAAUUUGAUUUCAAAAA
RNA transcript from Quercus robur (English oak), 3102 nucleotides. It is a transcript of the gene named receptor-like protein EIX2, with no coding region annotated. The transcript has 5 exons. NCBI's taxonomy places the organism in Eukaryota, Viridiplantae, Streptophyta, Magnoliopsida, Fagales, Fagaceae. The record is from RefSeq and is a predicted model, not a curated record.